CAGCAACAGCAGCAACGACGAUCAAAGGAGCUGACACCGCAAGACAUGCCUUCCCAACACAGCUGCUGGCCCCAUUCUUUGACCCACCACUCGACUCGAUGUUCUCGCUAGAUGAGGCCACGACCCAUCCGACGGUCGUCACCUUCAAAUUCCCAGCACACUCCGCAUGCCAACUCCAACGAUCACCUGUCUCCUCUCUCUUGACGGGCUCCACA
This 215-nucleotide long non-coding RNA is filed under the name Elaeis guineensis (African oil palm). RNAcentral's name for it is "long non-coding RNA (EGUI_LNC005324)". Lineage: Eukaryota; Viridiplantae; Streptophyta; Magnoliopsida; Arecales; Arecaceae. The record is from RNAcentral.